AGAUACAGGACUGGUUUUAAUUGAAGUCACCUUACCCAAGCUGGCACUGUGAGAGUCCGAGGGAAAUCACACAGCCUUGUCCAGGAGAUACCUGAGGUGAAGAUGGUUUAAAAAAUCUAAGUGACAUCUGAGGACUGGCAGUUUUCCCACAGCUGGGAUUUUGCUGGUGCUUAAAACUGCAUCUGCUAAAAAACAAAAGCAAAAUGGAAGCGGUUCAGCUGAAGUGGAUCAAGUACUUUUCUUCCUGAGUGUAAACAGUUUUCUCACCUUCGAAGAGGCUCGGCUGCAGCCGUUACUGCCUGGUAGUUUUCGGUUUUGCAGCUCUUCAGGUCUUGCUGCAAAACGCUGUGGGAUGCCUCUGAACCGAGAAGUUGAAUUUCAAGUGGAUUCUUCUCCAUCCUCUUGCCUGCACUCUGCGCUGCUGUGCCUUCUGUCUGCAAGGAAAAGGAGCCUCACUGGGAGGAAAACACUGAUAGUUACUGCAGCCUUUGUCUGAAAAAGGCAGGUGUCCUCUAGCCACACCAGACUGUCCACAAAAAUCAGAUAGACCUUUGUCCUGGAUAAGUUUUGGUCCGUCACAGAAAAUUAAUUCCAGUUACGCUGGCCUUAACGGGAGCAUUUGAUCCAGGAGAAGUAGCUGGGGGAGGACGUGCCUGCAGCUGCUGCGAUGAGCCUGGAAGAUGCUGCGGGACAGGACGCGCUGCGACGUGGCUCCCCCAGGAGAGCAGCCCACGGCCCCCAGGGGCGAGCACUCCACGGCCAGGCCCCUUCUCGCCGCAACCUGGCUGUGUCUGACUUCUCUCGCUCUUGCUUUGCUGCUGUGAAACAGGAAGAGCAAGAUAACCUCAACAAUUUUAUAACCUGGGUACUCGUUCCUACUUCUCCUUUGCUCCUGGCAAUGUACCAAUUAUUAAUUAACAGGCAAAUGCUAGAGAAAAGGCCAAUGUACAUAGCUCAUUUCCAUAGCUGUAAAUGUGGUAGCCCCCCAGUCAGCUUUUAUUCCGGUGAACCCAAUUGCUAUGACAGCAAUGAAUAAAUACCCUGGAAAAAAUAGAAACGAUUUUCAACUUGAUAAAAAAUGAGACUUGAAUCCUUUUAAAAGACUCUCUUUUCUGGCUGUCGUGCAUAUCACGCUACCUAUGGAAAAACUCAGGCAGCAAGAAUUCCUGUCACCAAGUGACACGACACCAAUGCCCCGAACGCACAACUUCCCUGUAACCGGCCCCUGCGAAAUGUUUGAUGCUCUGCAACUCCCUGGCAAGGGCUGUACACUGGGUCUAAUAAUUUGCAUCAUGAUGCUGAGCGAAGGUGCUAUUUUUGAAUAUGUAGGCAAAAAAGUUAUUCCAGAUUCAGACCAAAUUAAAGUGUGUAUGUGCCGCUGACAACAGCUGCAAUCAAAAGCAUUUGCUCUCUUUCUCAGGAGAAGAAAAAAAGCAACAAUUUACUAUUGUGCCCGUAACAAAGCUCAGCUCUACAGACCUGAAACAUGAAAAUCAUGCUUCCUUUCUAAUGAAGCAAACCGCAGAACAACUUUAACAUCAAAUUUUUCAGGGCUUCCUUAGUUUCACCCAAGCACGACCAGCCAUCCAGCAGAGGUUGUACAUCUGUGUUUAGAUGCUGUCCCUCAUGUCCUGCUUCAUCCUACCGUGUACGCUGGAGGUGGCCCAGGGACCGUACUCCCUGACAGUCACACUGGCAGAUGUAAUUAGCGUCUGCUCCAUCGUCAGUGCUUUAAAAAGUGUAUUUUUAUGAGGUUACUCCUUACUCUGGCAUCCCACUACCUGUCUCAACAGCUGGAUACCAAAUCCUCUUUCCCAGCAGGCCCUGUCAAAGCAACAAUAUCAACAACAGCGAAAGCUUGGGAACAGCAUGUCUGGGUGCUGUUAGGAACCAGUUCCCAUUAAUUAAUGUGCAAGGUUGUAUCAGGUCAUGACACGGGAUGGCGGGGCAUCAGGUGGAUUCGCAUCCUCGCUUGACAGCAUUGUUUUUUCCUGUCUCGGUGGCUGUAAGCAACA
Gymnogyps californianus (California condor) is the source of this 2015-nucleotide long non-coding RNA. RefSeq lists it as uncharacterized. Lineage: Eukaryota; Metazoa; Chordata; Aves; Accipitriformes; Cathartidae. The transcript has 4 exons. The record is from RefSeq and is a predicted model, not a curated record.